UGAUUGGAGGAAGUGGUCAAAAGGUACAAACUCCCAAUUAUAAGAUAAAUAAGUAUUGGGGUUGUAAUGUACAACGUGA
Ceratotherium simum simum (southern white rhinoceros) is the source of this 79-nucleotide non-coding RNA. Lineage: Eukaryota; Metazoa; Chordata; Mammalia; Perissodactyla; Rhinocerotidae. The record is from RefSeq and is a predicted model, not a curated record.